RNA transcript from Phoenix dactylifera (date palm), 1762 nucleotides. RefSeq lists it as uncharacterized. Lineage: Eukaryota; Viridiplantae; Streptophyta; Magnoliopsida; Arecales; Arecaceae. The record is from RefSeq and is a predicted model, not a curated record.
AGAGAAAGGAACGGAACGAGAGAGACAGAAAGGGGCUCGGGGCCGAAGGCGGGGAGGGAGACGGAUUUGAGUUUGAGAGAGAGGGUCCGGAGGGAGAGGGAUUUAAGAUUCGUUUAUACUCCUCCGUCCCCCGCUGUUAAAUCGCCGCCGCAUGCUGGCCGGUCGCCAUGGUUUCCGACCAGGAGAUCGCUAGCUGCGUCGAGUCCCUCCUCCGUCAGUCCGACCCCGCCACUGCCGUCGGCGCCAAUCUUAGCUCCGUCGUCCGCCAGGUCGAGGCUAAGCUAGGGCUCGACCUCUCCCACAAGGCUGGCUUCAUCCGCGACCAGAUCGAGCUCCUCCUCGGCCCCCCUCGCCCCCCGCCCCCACCGCCGCCCAACCAACAACGCCACCUCCUCUACCCUCUCCAGCAGGGCCACACGCCCCCUGUCUCCUCCCCUUUCCCCCACCAGCCCGGGCUCGACUUCCAAUACCCGCCUCCCCUCCCUGCCGCCGCGGUCGUUGCCGCCUACCAUCUCCAGCAGCAGCUCCAGCAGCCGCCCCGGGCGGCCCCCACCACAGUCCGGCCUGCGGCUAUGCCGGCCCCAAAGGAAAGCGCUUCUACUGGAGUUAAAAGAAGGGGGGGCCCAGGGGGUCUAAAUAAACUGUGUGGUGUUUCACCUGAACUUCAGGCCAUUGUUGGUGAGGCAACCAUGCCAAGAACUGAGAUUGUGAGGCAGCUAUGGGCAUAUAUCAGGAAAAACAAUCUGCAAGAUCCUAAUAACAGGAGGAAGAUCAUCUGCAAUGACGAACUUCGUCUAGUGUUUGAGACAGACUGUACCGACAUGUUUAAGAUGAACAAGCUGCUGGCUAAGCACAUCAUUCCACUUGAAACCACGAAGGCUGCAGAACCAGACUCUAAAAAAUUAAAGACUGAAGAUGUGGUUGCCGCAACUGAACCUGAUGCUGGUCAAUAUCCUGUGGUUAUUUCUGAUGCAUUGUUUAAAUUUUUUGGUUCUGAAGAAAAAGAAAUGCCUGAAAUUGAAGCUUUUAGGCGUGUAUGGGACUACAUAAAGUCUAACCAGCUGGAGGACUCAGAGAACACAUUGAUAGUGUGUGACCCUAAGCUUCAAGAACUUUUUGGAUGUGAAAGCCUUCCGACAUCUGGAUUAUCUGAGAUGUUGGCCAGCCAUGUAGUCAAACGGUCAUGACACAGGAUAAGGUGUCAAAAAUGUUGAAGACCAGGAUAAUACAAAUUAUGCAUUCAUUUUCCAACUUAAAGAACUCCUGUUUGUGAACUGAUGGCUGACCUGAUGUGCAGCUUCGGUAGCGUCAAGUUCCUCUAACAGUACAGUAUAGAAAACUUGAUGAAGAAAAAACCGUUUUGUUCUGUGCUUGAUUGCUUGUAUGUUUUAUGUUAGAAACAGUAGACUAUACUGGGGGCAAUCUGUAAUUACUUUUAGGUCAGUGGUGUUGAAAAUGAUGAUAGUUGGUGUAUUGUUCAGGGAUUCUAUCAAUGUCAGUCUUCAGGUUCCCGUACUUUCACAAACUCUGUAAAGGAAAAGAUUUGAAGCAAAGUUGAUCCCGGAUAGCGACUUGAGUGUCUUUGCCCUCUUGAUGUCAACUUUUGUUGCAACUGAUUGAUGCACAACCACUGUGUAUAUCUGUGUGUAACGUGGACGACUCAGAAAUAUUCCCAUUACAGCCAAGUAUAAAUCUGUCAUCUGGCUGUUUUGUAAAGCAUACAUCGCUUUUUCUUUGAUAGCAUGUAACUUCGUUAUAUCUA